GUUUUGAACAUGGCUCAGGACGAACGCCGGCGGCGUGCCUAAUACAUGCAAGUCGAGCGGACAGAUGGGAGCUUGCUCCCUGAUGUUAGCGGCGGACGGGUGAGUAACACGUGGGUAACCUGCCUGUAAGACUGGGAUAACUCCGGGAAACCGGGGCUAAUACCGGAUGCUUGUUUGAACCGCAUGGUUCAAACAUAAAAGGUGGCUUCGGCUACCACUUACAGAUGGACCCCGCGGCGCAUUAGCUAGUUGGUGAGGUAACGGGCUCACCAAGGCAACGAUGCGUAGCCGACCUGAGAGGGUGAUCGGCCACACUGGGACUGAGACACGGCCCAGACUCCUACGGGAGGCAGCAGUAGGGAAUCUUCCGCAAUGGACGAAAGUCUGACGGAGCAACGCCGCGUGAGUGAUGAAGGUUUUCGGAUCGUAAAGCUCUGUUGUUAGGGAAGAACAAGUACCGUUCGAAUAGGGCGGUACCUUGACGGUACCUAACCAGAAAGCCACGGCUAACUACGUGCCAGCAGCCGCGGUAAUACGUAGGUGGCAAGCGUUGUCCGGAAUUAUUGGGCGUAAAGGGCUCGCAGGCGGUUUCUUAAGUCUGAUGUGAAAGCCCCCGGCUCAACCGGGGAGGGUCAUUGGAAACUGGGGAACUUGAGUGCAGAAGAGGAGAGUGGAAUUCCACGUGUAGCGGUGAAAUGCGUAGAGAUGUGGAGGAACACCAGUGGCGAAGGCGACUCUCUGGUCUGUAACUGACGCUGAGGAGCGAAAGCGUGGGGAGCGAACAGGAUUAGAUACCCUGGUAGUCCACGCCGUAAACGAUGAGUGCUAAGUGUUAGGGGGUUUCCGCCCCUUAGUGCUGCAGCUAACGCAUUAAGCACUCCGCCUGGGGAGUACGGUCGCAAGACUGAAACUCAAAGGAAUUGACGGGGGCCCGCACAAGCGGUGGAGCAUGUGGUUUAAUUCGAAGCAACGCGAAGAACCUUACCAGGUCUUGACAUCCUCUGACAAUCCUAGAGAUAGGACGUCCCCUUCGGGGGCAGAGUGACAGGUGGUGCAUGGUUGUCGUCAGCUCGUGUCGUGAGAUGUUGGGUUAAGUCCCGCAACGAGCGCAACCCUUGAUCUUAGUUGCCAGCAUUCAGUUGGGCACUCUAAGGUGACUGCCGGUGACAAACCGGAGGAAGGUGGGGAUGACGUCAAAUCAUCAUGCCCCUUAUGACCUGGGCUACACACGUGCUACAAUGGACAGAACAAAGGGCAGCGAAACCGCGAGGUUAAGCCAAUCCCACAAAUCUGUUCUCAGUUCGGAUCGCAGUCUGCAACUCGACUGCGUGAAGCUGGAAUCGCUAGUAAUCGCGGAUCAGCAUGC
Molecule: ribosomal RNA, 1366 nt
Filed under: Bacillus sp. (in: firmicutes)
Lineage: Bacteria; Bacillati; Bacillota; Bacilli; Caryophanales; Bacillaceae
Description: bacterial SSU rRNA
Rfam family: Bacterial small subunit ribosomal RNA
Source: RNAcentral